GAUGAACGCUAGCGGGAGGCCUAACACAUGCCAGCCGAGCGGUAUUUGUUCUUCGGAACAGAGAGAGCGGCGCACGGGUGCGGAACACGUGUGCAACCUGCCUUUAUCUGGGGGAUAGCCUUUCGAAAGGAAGAUUAAUACCCCAUAAUAUAUUGAGUGGCAUCACUUGAUAUUGAAAACUCCGGUGGAUAGAGAUGGGCACGCGCAAGAUUAGAUAGUUGGUGAGGUAACGGCUCACCAAGUCAAUGAUCUUUAGGGGGCCUGAGAGGGUGAUCCCCCACACUGGUACUGAGACACGGACCAGACUCCUACGGGAGGCAGCAGUGAGGAAUAUUGGACAAUGGGUUAGCGCCUGAUCCAGCCACCCCGCGUGAAGGACGACGGCCCUAUGGGUUGUAAACUUCUUUUGUAUAGGGAUAAACCUACUCUCGUGAGAGUAGCUGAAGGUACUAUACGAAUAAGCACCGGCUAACUCCGUG
RNAcentral lists this ribosomal RNA (479 nucleotides) under uncultured bacterium. Its description in RNAcentral is "partial 16S ribosomal RNA". It matches the Rfam family "Bacterial small subunit ribosomal RNA", at positions 28 to 507 of the family's 1533-position model. The record is from RNAcentral.